UACGGAGGGUGCGAGCGUUGUCCGGAAUCACUGGGCGUAAAGGGCGCGUAGGCGGCAUGCCAAGCGUGUGGUGAAAGCCCGGGGCUCAACCCCGGGUCGGCCGUGCGGACUGGCAUGCUCGAGCACUGUAGGGGCGGGUGGAAUUCCGGGUGUAGCGGUGGAAUGCGUAGAGAUCCGGAAGAACACCGGUGGCGAAGGCGGCCUGCUGGGCAGUAGCUGACACUGAGGCGCGACAGCGUGGGGAGCAAACAGG
Molecule: ribosomal RNA, 253 nt
Filed under: uncultured bacterium
Lineage: Bacteria
Description: partial 16S ribosomal RNA
Rfam family: Bacterial small subunit ribosomal RNA
Source: RNAcentral